This 2514-nucleotide long non-coding RNA is filed under the name Panax ginseng (ginseng). Its description in RNAcentral is "long non-coding RNA (PGIN_LNC010747)". Lineage: Eukaryota; Viridiplantae; Streptophyta; Magnoliopsida; Apiales; Araliaceae. The record is from RNAcentral.
UACAAUAUAAAGUUUUAUAUGCUUGACAUGUAAUGAUUUAAAAAUAUUGCAUCCCUGCUUCUCCUUUUAGACUUGAUGGCAUCGGCUUGAAGGCGGCCAACAGAAGAGCAACCUUGCAUACAAGAAAUCCCAUCAUUCCGAAUACAAGUUCUUUUGGCAUCACUACCAUGGUAUCAUUUCCUGAACCAAAUUUCACCGCAAUAACUGAAAAUGUCAAUGCCAACAUUAAGGUAGACACCGGACCCUUAAUGACAAACUAUUGUAUUAAUUUCCUAAGCUAGGAUCCUGCUUCCAUAAAUUGAAAGAACAGAGCAUAAGGCAGAGAAACACAAUAAGUUUUGGAGACGAGCAUAAUCCUUUUGAAAUUUACUAGCGAAAAUUUCUCAAUCCUCAAUGCUUCCUAAUUGAUAAAUGUUUAAAUUUAUUUCCUCAUUAUAUAAUCACAAAAGAACAUAGAUAAACACGUGCUCCAUUAUUCCAAUAAUUUCAUGUAGCAUUUGAAAAAGGAAAAGAAAAUACAAAUACAUGUACAAAUGAAUCUCCAACGAAGUAGCAAUCUACAGAACCAACAUAAAAAUUAUCAAACCAACAGCCACAAAUAAAGAACAAAAGACAUCGAGAAAAAACCAUACCCUUCUCUCUCUCUCUCUCUUCCCCUAUUCAGUAUCCCAAGUUAAAUGUGAAGACGCUGCAAACUCCAACAGCAUAAGAUUCUCCUUUCGCCUUGCAAAAUAUAACAAAUGCAUCAAAUAAAUUGAAUUGGGUUAAACCCCAAGUCCAAAAUAUAACAAAUGCAUCAAAUAAAUUGAAUUGGGUUAAACCCCAAGUCCCCAACCAACAACAAAUUCAAAAAACUACAAAUGAGAUGUAGUAGAACUGUAGAAGACAAGAAGUAGUAGAACUGUAGAAGACAAGAAGUAGUGGGAUGACUUGUGGCGGAAAAGUAGUGGCUCCGCCCAUUGAGGCGGAUAAGCAACUAGAAGCAUUGAAGUAGGAGUAUGAAAAGCGAAAAUAGAAGUUGAAGAAUGAAGAGUGGAACAAGAAGAUUUCUGUACUACAGUACUUGUAUUUAGUAAUUUAUAAUUGGUUUAUGAAUUUUUUUGUCUCCUCCAAGUUUAACUCUGUUUAUAAUCUGUCCCCUUGAGUUUAUUAACUUACAUAUCUGCCCCUACCCCUAUACCUAUAAAAAAAAUCAGCAUAGGCAGGUGCCUAUGCUGCCCAUGCAUAGGUCCGCCCUGCUUAUAAUAGAAUCCGGACCUGGCAAUUCAUCAACAGACCUUUGUAAAAGUAACAGAUAUAGGAAGCCACCAAUUCCAGCAAAGAUAAGCAGUGUAUCAUAAAGUAAUAACGAGUUCUUUAAAUCUGCAUAGUCUCUCAUGCUUUCUUCAUUUGAUAUUGAGAGUCUCAGUUGAAGUUGAAGUAGAAGUUGAAGUUGAAGUUGAGAGUUUCAGUUGAAGAUGCUUUCUUCAUUUGCUUUCAUACAUACUAAACUUAUGGCAGCAUAAAUGCCAAAUACAAACAAAGUUCUUGUGACAAACUAUUGUAUUAAUUUCCUAAGCUAGGAUCCUGCUUCCAUAAAUUGAAAGAACAGAGCAUAAGGCAGAGAACAAUAAGUUUUGGAGACGAGCAUAAUCCUUUUGAAAUUUACUAGCGAAAAUUUCUCAAUCAAAUCUCAAUGCUUCCUAAUUGAUAAAUGUUUAAAUUUAUUUCCUCAUUAUAUAAUCACAAAAGAAGAACAUAGAUAAACACGUGCUCCAUUAUUCCAAUAAUUUCAUGUAGCAUUUGAAAAAGGAAAAGAAAAUACAAAUACAGGUACAAAUGAAUCUCCAACGAAGUAGCAAUUUACAGAACCAACAUAAAAAUUAUCAAACCAACAGCCACAAAUAAAGAACAAAAGACAUCGAGAAAAAACCAUACCCUUCUCUCUCUUCCCCUAUUCAGUAUCCCAAGUCAAAUGUGAAGAUGCUGCAAACUCCAACAGCAUAAGAUUCUCCUUUGGCAUUGCAAAAUUGCAAUUUAAACUUGAAACUAUCAAACAAAAAAACACUAAUUAGUAACCUAUUAAGUCCAAAAUAUAACAAAUGCAUCAAAUAAAUUGAAUUGGGUUUAACCCAAGUCCCCAACCAACAACAAAUUCAAAAAACUACAAAUUUUAAAUUAUCAAAUAAAAAAGCCCUAAUUUAGUUAGCUGAUUACUCUUGAUAGUUGAUAUGCGCAAGAGCCAAGAGAUAGUGGCGUAGUGACGUAGACGCGUAGUGGAGAACUGGAGAUGUAGUAGAACUGUAGAAGACAAGAAGUAGUGGGAUGACUUGUGGCGGAAAAGUAGUGGCUCCGCCCAAUGAGGCGGAUAACCAACUAGAAGGAUUAAAGUAGGAGUAUGAAAAGCGAAAAUAGAAGUUGAAGAAUGAAAAUUGGAACAAGAAGAUUUCUGUACUACAAUACUUGUAUUUAGUAAUUUAUAAUUGGUUUAUGAUUUUUUUGUCCACUACAAGUUUAACUCUGCUUAUAAUCGAU